GACGAACGCUGGCGGCGUGCUUAACACAUGCAAGUCGAACGGAAAGGCCCUGCUUUUGUGGGGUGCUCGAGUGGCGAACGGGUGAGUAACACGUGAGUAACCUGCCCUUGACUUUGGGAUAACUUCAGGAAACUGGGGCUAAUACCGGAUAGGAGCUCCUGCUGCAUGGUGGGGGUUGGAAAGUUUCGGCGGUUGGGGAUGGACUCGCGGCUUAUCAGCUUGUUGGUGGGGUAGUGGCUUACCAAGGCUUUAACGGGUAGCCGGCCUGAGAGGGUGACCGGCCACAUUGGGACUGAGAUACGGCCCAGACUCCUACGGGAGGCAGCAGUGGGGAAUAUUGCACAAUGGGCGGAAGCCUGAUGCAGCAACGCCGCGUGCGGGAUGACGGCCUUCGAGUUGUAAACCGCUUUCGCCUGUGACGAAGCGUGAGUGACGGUAAUGGGUAAAGAAGCACCGGCUAACUACGUG
Molecule: ribosomal RNA, 468 nt
Filed under: uncultured bacterium
Lineage: Bacteria
Description: partial 16S ribosomal RNA
Rfam family: Bacterial small subunit ribosomal RNA
Source: RNAcentral